UAAGUCUGUUUGUGGUGCUGUAACAAAAUA
This 30-nucleotide non-coding RNA is filed under the name Homo sapiens (human). Lineage: Eukaryota; Metazoa; Chordata; Mammalia; Primates; Hominidae. The record is from RNAcentral.